UGGCUGUUACUUGUGUCUCUUUCCUGGUGGCUGCAGGUUCAAAUUUAACAGACCCUGCAUAAAAACUGAAAAGAGUCUGCAACCAGGUUCAUUAACUAGCUGAAUACCCUUAAAGGCGUAUGCGUUUAUGCUUGGUUUUACCAUCCUACAACCAUUCUGGGUGAAUUAUCCAUCUCUAUUAAAAGUUGGUCCUAUAUAUAUGGG
Molecule: long non-coding RNA, 204 nt
Organism: Pseudophryne corroboree (corroboree frog)
Lineage: Eukaryota; Metazoa; Chordata; Amphibia; Anura; Myobatrachidae
Exons: 3
Source: RefSeq, a predicted model, not a curated record